RNAcentral lists this long non-coding RNA (231 nucleotides) under Linum usitatissimum (flax). RNAcentral describes it as "long non-coding RNA (LUSI_LNC003436)". Lineage: Eukaryota; Viridiplantae; Streptophyta; Magnoliopsida; Malpighiales; Linaceae. The record is from RNAcentral.
CUUGAUUUGGGUUUACCAUACUACUCAUAUACUCAUGCCAUGGUCAUCAAAUUGGACAUUUCCCCAAAACCAAAUUUAGUUGGCAGUAGCUUUAAAAUUUAGUACACAAAACAUUCAAGGACUAUAUUGUUUCUUGUUGUGUUUAAAUUGAUCCACUGUUAUUAUGGAGAUCACCCGACAUUGUAAGAGAGCAAAUUCAAUUUCUAAGGACAAACAACAUUAGCAGUUCAG